AAGUUCUAGGUAAUAAGGGCCGGGUAAGACUGGUGCCAGCCGCCGCGGUAACACCAGCGGCUCGAGUGGUAGCCACUUUUAUUGGGCCUAAAGCGUCCGUAGCCGGACUGGCAAGUCCUUUGUGAAAUCGGGCGGCUUAACCGCUCGGCGUGCAAGGGAAACUGCUGGUCUUGGGACCGGUAGGCGAUGAGGGUACUCCGGGGGUAGCGGUGAAAUGCUAUAAUCCUCGGGGGACCGCCAGUGGCGAAAGCGCUCACCGAUUCCGGAUCCGACGGUGAGGGACGAAGGCCAGGGGAGCAAACCGGAUUAGAUACCCGGGUAGUCCUGGCUGUAAAGGAUGUGGGUUAGGUGCUUGGCGUUCCUCGAGAACGUCGAGUGCCGAAGGAAAGCCGUUAAGCCCACCGCCUGGGAAGUACGGCCGCAAGGUUGAAACUUAAAGAAAUUGGCGGGGGAGCACCACAAGGGGUGGAGCCUGCGGUUUAAUUGGAUUCAACGCCGGACAUCUCACCGGGGGCGACGGCAGAGUGAAGGCCAAGCUGACGACUUUGCCGGACUCGCCGAGAGGUGGUGCAUGGCCGCCGUCAGCUCGUGUUGUGAAAUGUCCUGUCAAGUCAGGCAACGAGCGAGACCCUCGCCCUUAGUUGCCAUCGGAUUCCGUUUGGAAUGCCGGGCACUCUAAGGGGACCGCUGUCGAUAAGACAGAGGAGGGAGAGGGCGACGGUAGGUCCGUAUGCCCCGAAUCCCCCGGGCAACACGCGGGCUACAAUGCGUAGGACAGAGGGCUGCGACCCCGAAAGGGGAAGCCGAUCCCUAAACCUACGCAUAGUUCGGAUCGAGGGCUGCAACUCGCCCUCGUGAAGCUGGAAUCCCUAGUAAUCGCGUGUCACUAUCGCGCGGUGAAUACGUCCCUGCUCCUUGCACACACCGCCCGUCAAGCCAUCCGAGUGGGAUCUGGAUGAGGCUUGCUCUUUUGAACAAGUCAAAUCCGGGUUUCGCAAGGAGGGCUAAGUCGUAACAAGGUAGCUGUAGGGGAAUCUGCGGCUCGAUCACCUCCU
Molecule: non-coding RNA, 1055 nt
Filed under: candidate division MSBL1 archaeon SCGC-AAA382A20
Lineage: Archaea; Methanobacteriati; Methanobacteriota
Description: candidate divison MSBL1 archaeon SCGC-AAA382A20 Archaeal small subunit ribosomal RNA
Rfam family: Archaeal small subunit ribosomal RNA
Source: Rfam by way of RNAcentral